CGGCAGUUACGGAAAGUCUUUUAACAGUUUGAGCAGCAGGUAUGUUCUGUUGUGCUGCUGCCUGCCUCAGAGUUAGUCUGUAUUUAUCUUGGAUGCACAUCUAUGUAAGAUGUCUUGGCAACAUAAGCAACGCCUAUCUGCGUUGUAUAUUUUACUCUGCAAGUGCAAGUAUGCUAAGUAAAAUGUAUUUGUUCUUUAAACUUUAAAAGAGAGCGCCUUGCAUAGUUUUUGUACGAGGAAAAAGGAACUAAUUAAAGGGUCAAAAGACCCGGGGAACUAGAGUUUAAAUGGGAACUAGAGUGUAAUUCCCACAGGUGUGCUAUACACAGGCCCAAGCAUACGUAGACUUGAAUGGCACGAUUUCCUCCCACCCUUAGGGAGCAGGAAGAACCAUAUGCAUUGGACCUCCAUACGUACAAGACAAUGGCUGGAGUGCCCGGUUUAUGUAAUGUCUUAUAUGCACCAUGGGGAGAAGUGACUGUACCUGCUCCUUCCACUGCAGAAUGCCAGUCCCUAGUUAUGUCAGUGUGUAAGCUGAGCUUUUGCACCCACCAUGCAACACAUUUCUGUUAUGUUUUUUGGGGAUUCUCCAAAUCUUAGCUGGCCUUGGUAGCUAGCCAUUAUUUGCGGUUCUCUCAACCCUACCCUACCUGAGUCCUCUUGCGUACUGAGAGUAUUCAAGGGAAUGGAAGGGCCAGCUAUUAAUUUUGUAGUGAUAUUUGCAAGUGUUCGGAAGUAGCAAAAAACCCCACAUCUUGUUGCUUUGAAUCACCUUAAAAGGAUGACAUAUAGUAGGGUGUUUGUUUGCUUUUUGUUUUUUAAAAAUGUUUUUUUUUAAAUUGCCCCUUUUUCCAAGUUCCAGAGGAAGGGCCUACGGAAUAACCUCUCACCUCAUGCCUGGAUUUGGAGGUGCUCAACAAAAGCAAUAAUCCCUAGUUCUGCAAAUCCUGGAGCCAUGUGUGGGACUGCAUUCCUACCAAUCCCAAAGUCUGCUGCAUAUGCCGGGCAUCUCAAGAGGAGGAUCUGUCUCUUCCACACAUCACAAAAAAGAGAUCCCCCCCCCAACCUCCAAAUCUGUUUCAAGCGGUAGUCAGCAUGCUGUCUCUAGCACAGUGGUUCUCAAGGGGUGUGGUGCGCCACACUGGUGUGGCAGGAGAGGGUGGCAAGUGUGGCAGGAAGAUUUGAGGACAAUCAACAUUAUAUUUGAGGAAUGAUUCGUGUUCUUAUGUAGCUGCAUUGUUUUAUAGUUUCUGCAUGUCCCAUGAUCAUAUUAUAAAGUAGUUGUGUUCUAUGUUACAGUGGUGCCUCGCAAGACGAAAUUAAUCCGUUCCGCGAGUCUCUUCGUCUAGCGGUUUUUUCGUCUUGCGAAGCAACCCUAUUAGCGGCUUAGCGGAUUAGCGCUAUUAGCGGUUUAGCAGCUAUUAAAGGCUUAGCGGCUUAGCAGCUAAAAGGCUAUUAGCGGCUUAGCGGCUUAGAAAAAGGGGGGGAGCGAAAAAAAUCUCAAGACUCGCAAGACAUUUUCGUCUUGCGAAGCAAGCCCAUAGGGAAAUUCGUCCUGCGAAGCGCAUCGAAAAACGGAAAACCCUUUCGUCUAGCGGGUUUUUCGUCUUGCGAGGCAUUCGUCUUGCGGGGCACCACUGUAUAUAAAUUAGGCACUGCUAGGAAUUCUUUCUUCUUGUUUUGCAAUGUAUUUCUCAUCAAUAAGAAAUCCGGAGGGGCGCGAGCAAAUUUUUAUUCUGAAAGGGUGACCCAGAGGAAAAACAUUUGAGAACUACUGCUCUAGGAAGAACAGAAUCAGGACAUGAAGGCCCUCCAUUAAUUUGUGACCCCGUAACUGACACAGCAAAUGCAACCUUGUCCCAUUGUCUCCAAACAGGUGAAGAAGAGUUUGGAUUUGAUAUCCCGCUUUAUCACUAACCGAAGGAGUCUCAAAGCGGCUAACAUUCUCCUUUCCCUUUCUCCCCCACAACAAACACUCUGUGAGGUGAGUGGGGGUGAGAGACUUCAAAGAAGUGUGACUAGCCCAAGGUCACCCAGCAGCUGCAUGUGGAGGAGCGUGGACGCGAACCCGGUUCACCAGAUUACAAGUCUACCGCUCUUAACCACUACACCACAGUGACUCUCCGUCAAAGUUUUGUGCUCGUUUUGUGCCACUUUGUGCUUCAAAGCCACAUUUUGUGCCACCCCCCCCCCCACCAAACUGAAUAAUCAAACAUUCAGACCGGGGUCACAAGUAAAUGGCCCCAAACCCAGCCUUGUCUGAUUGACUCCAAACCAGUCCCAAGUUGUGUGCUGGUACAUGAAGGCAACAGCCCUUCAUGGUUACUUACCAGCAUAUAGUACCCAGAGGGCCCCUCCAUUUGGUUAUAAUGGUUAAAGCCUUUGAUAGACCUAUUUGUGUAAAUUUGUGACAUCCUUUUUAAAAGAGCCAACGGUGCUAGUGACAUUCACUAUAUCUUAUGACGGUGAGUUCCAUAUAGUCAGGGAUGGGGAAUUUAUGGCGCUCUGGGGGUUGUUAGACUCCAACUUCCAUCAGUCCCAGCCAGCAUGACCAAUAGUCAGCAAUGAUGGGAACUGUUCUCCAACAUCUGGAGGGCCAGAGCUUUCUCAUCUCUGUGAACAUAUUGUGUGAACAAGAUUUUUCCUAUUUGCACUUACAAGAAGCCCCCAAAUAUAAAGGAAAUGCCUAGUGGGUGGAUUUCAUGCAGGGUAGAGUUCAUUAGAAGCAUAUCUGAAGAUACCCAGAAAGAAGAUGGAAUAGUUCUCAUUUUUUAAAUGUCUGAAAAACAACCAUUUAUUUUAAAAAACAAACAACCAAAAAAAACCUUUCUUACAUAAAUUGUGCCUGGCUCAAUUUAUAAACUCACUCUGGAAGUUAAUUCAAGUUAAUAUAAUGAAAUAUCUCAUGUUGUCUCAGCGAAAUGGCUCCUUUCCAAAGUUCCAACAUAGCAAAAGGAGAUUAUUUAGGAUAAAUUGCUUUAAAUAACAUUUGGAGUUGUGUAAGAAUUCAGGAGCCUAUGUCUCAAUUCAAAACAGUUUUUGGCACACUUAUAGAAGAGUAAGUUCGUAUAACAUUCUGACAUCUGGCACUCAGUAGCUGUUAUACAGAAGUUCAUUUUUGAAAGUUGCUGGUAUAAUUCAGAACUGUAGUGGAACACAUACAUUUAACAGAAAAUUUCUAUUAAUUCAAUAUUAAUAUGUGGUGCAAACAUGAUAAAAAGACAGAGGCCACAAUCCAUUGACAUCAAUUAAAAAUGAGUCAUGGCUAGCUUACUUAUUGAGCAAAAGAAACUUUCUUUAAAAAGAAACAGAGAAUUGUAAAGUUAGAAGGUAUCCCGAGGGUCAUCUAGUCCAACCCCCUGCAAUGCAGGAAUCUUUUGCCCAAAAGAUCUCACCUGAGACUCCAGGGGCCACUACCAGCCAGAAUAGACAAUAUUGUGCUAGUUGGACAAACAAUCUGACCUGAUAUAAGGCACCUUCCCGUGUUUCUGCAUUUGUGGUCUGGUGACCAUGAGACUGUGGCUCAGAAAAUGUAAUACAUCAACACAGUCUAAAAAUACACUAGUUAAAAGCAGUUAAUAAAUGGUACAAAAUACCAGUUCGUUGAAUGCACACAUUGGUAUAUCAUAUGAUUUUUCAGUGGUCACAUUACUAUGAGUACAGCAAAAGAAACACCACACUUCCUCAUGAAACAACCAAGUGCAACAUAAUGAUGACAAUUACUCGGGUCAUGUGAUCAUGUAUCACUCAUAUCAUUCUUCAAAUCAUGCAGCAUUACUUCCUAUUAGUUUUCCAUUUCUUCAGAUUAGUACUUGCAAAUGAAAAUAAUGAAAUGCAGGAGGACUUUGCACCAUUUCCAGAGUUAAGAAUGGGACUAUUGCUUUCAACUCAGGGCUACCGUCCCCGUCAUCUAAAAAAGGAAUUGGACUCUGGGUCACAGUUCCUUUCCAUUCACAAAAGGGCAACUCAAGAUUGAAGCUCAGCGUGUCAUAAUGACCACCUUAUAGAUAUUCCCACUAUUUGAAGGAUGGCUGGAUCUCUCUCUCUCUCUCACUGUAUGGAACUUCGAAUGAGAAACAUGAUAUCUUGCAAGGAUAGAAAUUGCUUCAGUUUCUCCCAGCAAUACAGUGGUACCUCUGGUUACAUACUUAAUUCCUUCUGGAGGUCCAUUCUUAACCUGAAACUGUUCUUAACCUGAAGCACCACUUUAGCUAAUGGGGCCUCCUGCUGCCGCUGCUGCACAAUUUCUGUUCUCAUCCUGAAGCAAAAUUCUUAACCUGAGGUAAUAUUUCUGGGUUAACAGAGUCUGUAACCUGAAGCGUUUGUAACUUGAAGCGUAUGUAACCCGAGGUACCACUGUAAUACAAAAUGAGCAAUAGCUUAUCUUUGUGUGUGAAGAUGUCAGUGAUAUUUUUGACUCAGUUUGUGAUGUCCACAAAGAUGUGGCUCAGUAGGGUUCUAAACAGAAAAAAAUAAGGAUACAGCUGGAAUCUUCAAAGGAUAGGAUAGUAGAGUCAUUUGUCUCCCCACCCCACCCCAAAUAGAACUUCCUUAACGACAUACAAAAGCCAGAUCUGUUUGUUUACAUAUUUGGCAACUUAGGUCUACGCAUUCAGCUCUUCUAAAAAAAAGGUAACAAGAUGGUCUAGAAGUCUCCAGUUCUGAUAGCUGUGAAGGGUGACUUCAGAAGACCACACAGGUACUGAUAGAAUAUUUGGAUGAAUAAUAAUAUGGAAGAGUUUGAAGUGGAAUGUUCUGUUGGCUGGCAAAGCUACUAGAGGGCUUGGCUCCAGUCUGCAAUCUGCAAAUCAAAGCCAAUCAAACACACACUUGCUGUGAUAGUGAGGAUUUUAAACAUUAUCAGAAGAACAGACGGUGAUCACUACUUUGCUAUGAAUGUUUACUUGAUUGUUUUUGAAAUGCUACAAUUGUAGCAGCAUGUUGCUGUUGCUCUUGGAUUUGUUUCAAAUGAAUCAGCAUAGCUACCUGAAAUUUAUUGAGAGAUUUUACAUUUCAGUUCGGUACGGAUUUGCUGAAAUAACUGGGUUCAGAAACAGUAUGCUUUUUUAAAAAUCUAUUCAUUUUAUCCUGCAGUGUUGGGAAAACUUUACGUAGAAAAAAAUUAAAUAAAUAUAUUUUGCAAACAGAAGGAUAAAAAGCAACAAUAAUUUGAUGCUCAAGUGUAGUUCAAGUGCUAAAAGCAAGCAUUCCCAGAGUAACUGAUCAUGCACUCUUGCUCCUAGACACAGCACUUUAUCCAAAGCAGACACAAAACAAAAACUCUUCACAAUGGGCUGGAGACCAGAUAACAGCUUCUCAUCCCCACUAUGAAAACAAUAGCCUGUAGUCACAGUUAACUGACACAACAGAUCUAUUUAAAAGCAAGAUUCCCAGGCCCUUUGAAUAGGAUGAACCUAUUCUUUCACCAGCAAUGCUGUGAAACAAGGCAAAGAUGUAGUUCAGGAUCUUAGUUCUACAACUUGUAGUUCAGUUUGUGUCUAAAAAACAGGAGCAGAAAUUGUUCCUGCCAUUGAUUCUACUGCUUUUCAUCAAGGUGGAAACCCUUCCAGCUUCUGAGUUCCCUCAGUCAACACUAGGCACUCUCAUUUGCACAUGCGACAUAAGAUGUGCAAUUAAGGAAACUCCCACAUAUUUAUCAACAAACAAGGGACUCAGCAUGCACAGCAACGACAUAAUAUCCUAUUCUCUAGCUGUGAUCAAGAGAUGAGGAGUAGGAUGUGGAAUUGUGAACUCCCCAGCCCCUCCUUUUUCACACACAUAUUUCUCACCAUAUUCUUGAGUGCCUUGCCCAAAAGUGAGAUGUUUGAUGCUGCUGGAUGAACAUUAUAAAGGGCAGGAAGAUCUUUUUCCAUACUGGUUUUACCACCACUUCCUUCAAUACUGUUGGAACGAUGGCCUUUGCUCCCCAACCGAAUCAGCCUACCCAGCGCUGGCUUCCUUAAUCAACCAGGAAGGGCAAGGAUUGAGCAUGCCAAGUGAUGAAGCGCCCAACUUCAAUAAUUCCGUCUACAUCCACAGGCUAUGCAAACCAAGAAGUAUCCAUAGAAACAGGAGAAGCAGCUGCAUCUGGUGCUGCCCUCAAUUUGGAGUCAAGGCAGACAUGUCUAUCAGAGAUGUUGACUACAAAGUGCUUGGCAAAUAGGGCACACCAGGUAACCAUCACGUCUCAGGAGCCACUUGGAACAAUUCUGCCAGACAACUCUGUACGGACAAAAUGGUGCCAGAAAACCAAGAUUUAUUUUCCACCAUCGCUGCCAUGAGAUGAGCUCUGAAAUGAGCUUUAGCCCAACUUCAGUCAAAUUCAUCAUGCAUUUUCCUUUGCUGGAAGGGAAAAGUUUCAUUGCUCAGAAAACUAGGGAGCCACACGGGCUCACCAAACAGAGAGAUCACUCUGGAGUGAACAUAGCAACUGCUCAUGUAGUUUCCCCAUUCCAGAUGUUAUCAAGUGCUUUGAUAGGACUGCCAGCAUUACAUUGCCCCAGAGCCAGCAGGACUUAAUCUGGACUGGAUCUAUUUUUCUCUAGGGCAGACUGUUCUAAUAAGCCCUCCACUCAGUAAGCCUAAAACCUGCCAGGCAGAGCUCUAUCCAUGCCAAGGGAACCAUGUCAAACUUCUCCACCCAUGAUCACCACCCUGUUCAGAAUAUAACACCAAAUCAAGUGUAUGACCAGCCAAAUGAAAGAGGCCGGAUAUCAAUCGAGACAGAUAUUGUUGUCAUGGAGACCAUGAAAUCCUGAUCUGCAACAGACGAGAGGGCCUCAGCAAGGAUGCUUGAAUUUGCCAUUCCCAUUCUGGUCCUGCAGAGAAGCCCACUUGGCACCCACUGACAUGUUGUUGGGAAAAUGAUGAUGAUGAUGAUAAUUGAUUUAUAUGCCCAUCUGACUGGGUUGCCUCAGCCACUCUGGGCAGCUCCCAACAAAAAAUAGUAAAAACACAAUACCACACACUAAAAACUCCUCUAAACAGGGGUGCCUUCAGGUUGAACAGGGCUGUCUUCAGGUGUCUUUUAAAAAAUCACAUGGCUGUUUAUCUGUUUGACAUCAGCUAAAGUGCCUUCCACAGGGUGGGCAUGACUACUGAAAAGGCCCUCUGCCUGGUUCCCUGUAACCUCACUUCUCGCAAUGAGGAAACCACCAGAAGGCACUCAGAGUUGGAUCUCAGUGUCCGGGCUGGAUGAUGGGGGUGGAGACGCUCCUUCAGGUAUACAAGGCCGAAGCUGAUUGGAAGGAGGUAGAGCUCUCAGAUGUCUAACCCCCUUAUCCUGUAACAAGCCAACAUAAUUCACACUGCCACACUUCCUGCAACUGCCCACAAUCCGAAUGGUGCCAUCUAGGCCACACACACUGCCAACCCUCACCACUCGAUCAAAGCAAAGUUUUAGUAAGACUAAAAUAUAAGGCAAAUUGCUUCUGAAGAAGAGUUUCAAAAGCAGCAUGGCAGCACAUUACUGAAAGCUGGAAGGGGGAUUAAAAAAUUCACCAGGGAGGCCCAUUCUCUCUCUCUCUCUCUCUCUCUCACACACACACACACACACACACACAUAUAUAUGCAAAGUUUUCAAGAAAAAAAUUAAUAUGAAACCACAGAUCGAUGGAAAAAGAAUUUGAUGGAUAAAUAGUGCCUACAAAGCACACACUAUCCCUUUUGAUAAUGGCUUUAAUUGCAGAGAGGCAUUCAUUUUCUCAUAUUUCUCUUAUCGCCCAGGACUCCUCUGUGAUUAUGUGUUUUGUUUUUUAAAAGUUCUCCUCUGCAUUCCUGAGGAAAGCUCUUGAGUUUGUUGAUCCUAAGCUGGCACUGAAUCUGCAGAGGAUGUCAACAUUCACAUUUGUUCAGGACAGUUCUUGCAUGAUAAGUCUCUUUUCUGUGCUUUCCUCUGCUCAGCUUCAAUCGCCCCUUUCAGUAAAAUAGAGGCAGGGACGAAGUAAUGCAAAAAGAAGGCUGAUUUGCUGGUAGGGACUGUUAAUCCACAGUUUGCACAAUCAAAAUGCUAUUAGGAGAUGAAUUUGCUGUGUCUUUCAGAAUCACAAUCAUCUUUCCAACAGGAUGCAAAAUAAAGUGUGUAACUUGUAUAUGAAACCUAUGCAUCAGAAUGUUCAUGUGCAUUACAAAUGCCUCUCUUCCCCACUAUCAGCUGUCAGACACUUACUUUAAAAGCACAAGAGAGGAUUAAAGUGAUUUAAUCCUAACUGUUUACCUUAAGAACAUAAGAGCAUUGUUCUGUGCUUUAAACUCCCAAUGAUCAACUGAUCAUUGGCGCUUCAGAAGGCAGGUGUGCAGCACUUCUGAAAUGCUCCCUGAUGGGCUGAUCAUUGGAAUUUCAGACUGUGGACUAAGUAAACUACAAGCAAUAAAGAUAAACAAUUGUACCGUUAAUAUACCAUAAAAUGACUGGAUUAUCUGAGAAACUGGAUUUACCCUUGCGGAAUCUAUCCUGGUUCUUCUUCAGGGAAGGUUACAACAUUAAAACACAUCUCUGAAGGUGAAAUAAAUUUUAAAAAUGUCCAGUAGCACCUUAGAGACCAACUAAGUUUGUUUGGGAUAUAAGCUUUCGUGUGCAUGCACACUUCUUCAGAUACUUAGUCGGUCUCUAAGGUGCUACUGGACAAUUUUUUAAUUUCACCUGCGUCAGACCAACACGACUACCUACCUGAACCUCUGAAGGUGAACGAACUACCAAGAAGGCCCCAAUCUGCCAAUCUUAAUUUUCCAGAGUGUCUGUAAGGAAGGAGAUGAUCUUUCAGACAUUUGGGGCCUGAGUCAUUUAGUGUUCAAAUGUGAGUACCUUGAACUGACCACGGAAAUGAAUUGGCAGCCAGUAACGAAAUGUUCGUUUUAAAUUCACCAAUAAGACUGACAAAUUAAUUUUAGAUAGAACCUACUUCUUACCAUCUUUUAUUUCUGUUUCCUUAAGGAGCAAGAUGUUAGAAAGGAUUUGAUCCUCAGCUCCCAUUUUCUUCAGUUCAGCUUUUGUCAGGUGGAGCAAAUCCUGGAACCAGCCCAACAAAAAAGAAGAUGGAUGAGAAAAUAUUGACUUUGUUCAUUUUUUAAGAAAUAAUAUUCUUUUAAAAAAAUGAUCCAACAUUUUAUGACCAUAAAUUAAAAGCAUCCAGAACAUAAUCCCAGAACAUAACAAACACUGCUCAUUUUUCCAUAGUUACUGCUAAGAAUUAACACCUAACAAAUGAAUGUAUUGCCAAAAUACAAUGUUAUCAAAAGGUUGUUUUUCAAUAGCUAAUUCUUGUUACUUAUUUGUACCACCCUCCUAACCAUUUGAAAUCACUGUGAGAAACUCUUUUAGUUCAUUAUCACUUUUCACUUUUCUCUCUCGCUCUGUGCCUUGUCUCUGAGGAUCAUUAAAAGACACAUUCUUUGGAAUUUACUUUGAGGAAGGAGUUCUUAACAUCCAGGUCUAUUGGGGAGAAUUUUUGUUUGUUUGUUUACAAGAACUGGCAUCUAAGCUGUAGGGCCAUAAAACACAGACCACACCAUUUAAUUACUGUCAGUGUAUGGCAAAGAACCACCUGCAAGCAGUUUCUAUUUUAAAUUGUGCCAUGAUCUGAAAAACCUAAUUGUUCCCACCCAGCCACCCAGAAGUUGGUGGACUGGACAAAGGAGCUGCCAAUUCAUUUAGGAAACAUCCUCCACUUAAUUUUCUUAACCUCCAUGACCUGUAAAAAGCUGGAACAUAAUGGUAGACUUGCACAUUUGAAAAUGUCUAAUCAUUUAGUAUUAUAUUUUACUAUAAAACCUUCGUGUGGCACAGGGUUGGGAGCAAUCGCAGUAAGGAAACAGCUUCUAAAACUGUAAGAUAGUUCAUAGAUAGAAGAAUGACCUCAAGCACUGAACAAAUCCAUUGUAUCCAGGAUGCCACACUAGUCAACCAAGGAGGAACAGUUAAUUCCUACCUUCCUACCCCCUCAGGCAAAGGUUCUGGUCUAUUUAACUAUGAAAGCACUUCUGUUGUGCAUACUGUAUUAUCUUCCAGUUUGCUGUCUGUGUGAACUCAAUCUUUCUCUUCUUCAGUUGUAUAGUGCAGCCUUUUGUGUGCAUCUCAAAGAAAGAAACAUUCUCCAGUCCAAUGCUGCACAAUGUUGACUGCCUACCUAUUGAAGAAUGGAACUCUCUGGUGUGGAGGGAUCACUUGGGAAGACAGGCGAACUAAUACCAGUGUACUGGAAGAAGCAAAGAUCACCAGUGUUAAAGCAAUGACUCUUCAACAUCAACUUCGUUGGACUGGUCAUGUUGUGCGGAUGCCUGAUUACCGUCUUCCAAAGCAACUACUCUAUUCCGAACUUAAAAAUGGAAAGCGUAAUGCUGGUGGUCAACAAAAGAGGUUUAAAGACUGUCUCAAGGCUAAUCUUUAAAAAUGUAGUAUAAACACCAACAACUGAGAAACACUGGCCUGCGAGUGCUCCAGUUGGAGAACAGCCUUUACCAAAGGUGUCAUGGGCUUUGAAGACACUCGAACCCAGGACGCAAGGGAGAAAUGUGCUAAGAGGAAGGCACACGGAAGGACACGUGGUUCCAGAAUUGGCCUCCACAGUCACUUAUGGACUCAUUGUUAAAACCAUGUUUAUGGAAGACAAUCUUACUCGCCUAUGAGUAAUCGCAGAAGAAGAAGAAGAAGAAGAAGAAGAAGAAGAAGAAGAAGAAGAAGUGUGUGUGUCCCACCCUUCAGAAGCUAGUACUGACUCAAGGCUAUCUCUGAAAUCAUUUUGUCUUUAAUCAUCAGUCUAGAUUAUCAGCCUACAUUUCCCCAAGAAGUCGUUGGCAAUCUGAACAGAGACACAAGGGAAGCAGCAGUCAGAAGGGAAUGGAAGUAGGUGU
This 10848-nucleotide long non-coding RNA is filed under the name Podarcis lilfordi (Lilford's wall lizard). Lineage: Eukaryota; Metazoa; Chordata; Lepidosauria; Squamata; Lacertidae. The record is from RNAcentral.